AUGGACGAGGACGAGUACUCGUGGGUGCGGCGCACCAAGUUCUCGCACUCCAUCGUCAGGUCUAGCUCCGGCAGGUGCUCCUUCGACGAGCAGUUCAGCCGCCGCGCCGUGUCCAUGCAGAAAGAUUUUGAUUCGGAGCUCAAGAGCCUGCGGCCGAGGGCCAAAGGGGCGGUCUCAAACCCGGCGAGGCCGGCGAUUCCCAGGGCAAAAUCGGCAGCCGGCCAGGCAGACCGGAAGCCGAAAGAUGUUGUGUUUUCAGAUGUUCAGCUGAAACAGAGUGGUUCUGUUGGCGAUGGCUCACUGAAAGAAACGUCGAUGAUGCAAGAUCGGCGUGAGGUUGGACCCAAGGGAAACGGCCUGAGCUUGAAAUCACUGGAUAUUCCUAAUCGGCGUAUUGUCCGGGGUUUGAAUGAUGGAAGCUCAGGCAACACGCUGGAGUUCUCUUUCCACUCCGAGGAGCAAAGCUUGAGGUUGCAGAGGGUGUGCUCUAGCCCAGGUCCUUACUUUGCCAAGGAUGCAGGGCUAGCCGGGGAUUCUAAUCCACGGAGUGUAUCUUUCAAGGUUGCUGGGGAUGGAUCAAAGCCGAAGAGAAGAGCGAAAUCCCCUAUCCCAGCGCGCGUCAUCUCCGACGUUUUUAGGGAGGCGAAAGCUGCCAGCAAGAGGUUCUCCUCUCCACAGCGGCAAAGGAAAUCUAGCUCUGUUCGGUUGCUGGAUGAUAGUCCCCCUUUUGCAUUCUCUUCGACAAGAGCAGCGACCAAAUUGGUAACCAAAAGGGCCUCUUCCUGGCCAAGGAACUCGGAAGCUAGAGUUGCAAAGGUCGCUGCGCUCGAUGUACUUGAGAAAUGGACGGUCGACCGCUCACAGUUACUCAUUGGCCAUAGAUUUGCAUCAGGAGCGUAUAGUCGUCUGUUCCAUGGAAUCUACAAGGAGCAGCCUGUUGCUGUCAAGUUUAUCAGGCUACCUGAUGAUGGUGAAGAUCCGGAAUUGGCUGCUCGGCUUGAGAAGCAGUUCACUGUCGAAGUUACCAUUUUGGCUCGGCUCCAGCAUCGUAAUGUCAUUGAGCUGGUUGGGGCAUGUAGCUCUGCACCUGUCUUCUGUGUCAUCACUGAGUUCCUGCCUGGGGGCUCUUUGAGAGCCUAUCUGCGCAAGCUGGAGGGCAAGCAACUUCCUUUGGAGAAGAUUAUCUCCGUUGCCCUGGACAUUGCACGUGGUCUGGAAUACGUGCAUUCGCAAGGAGUAAUCCACCGUGACGUGAAGCCUGAGAACAUUCUAUUCGACGCAGAAUGUUGCGCAAAGGUCGUUGAUUUCGGAGUAGCUUUUGAAGACGUUUACUGCAACACGAUGGAAGACGACCCAGGCACAUAUAGAUGGAUGGCGCCAGAGAUGUGUAAGCGCAAGCCAUAUGGUCCGAAAGUCGAUGUCUAUAGUUUUGGGCUCGUCUUGUGGGAACUGGUUAGUGGUUCCAUCCCUUAUGAAGAGAUGACUCCUCUCCAAGCAGCUUAUGCAGUUGUUAAUAAGAACUUGAGACCGGUUGUUCCUUCGAGCUGCCCGACACCAUUGCAACAAUUGAUGGAGCAAUGCUGGUCCGCUCAACCCGAGAAGAGGCCUGAGUUUACUCAGAUAGUUAAAACCCUUGAAAAUCUCAAGGCGACUCUUGAUAGAUAUGGAACCAUUGAGAAGACCCCAACCCCCAGUUGCCAGGAAGCUCAGGAGCAAAACAAGAACAGGCUUGCCAACUGGAUCCUAAAGCUCUCAUAUAGCCCACCGGAUUUCUCAGGGCCCCCGCCGCCGAAGCUGCUGUGA
This 1803-nucleotide ribosomal RNA is filed under the name Triticum aestivum (bread wheat). RNAcentral's name for it is "partial small subunit ribosomal RNA". The record is from RNAcentral. Lineage: Eukaryota; Viridiplantae; Streptophyta; Magnoliopsida; Poales; Poaceae.